Non-coding RNA from Gopherus flavomarginatus (Mexican gopher tortoise), 82 nucleotides. Lineage: Eukaryota; Metazoa; Chordata; Testudines; Testudinidae. The record is from the annotation of a RefSeq genome assembly.
GAUGAGGUGGCCAAAUGGUUAAGGUGGUGGAUUACUAAUCCAUUGUUCUCUGCAUGCAUGGGUUUGAAUCCCAUCCUUACCA